This 195-nucleotide small nuclear RNA is filed under the name Triticum aestivum (bread wheat). Its description in RNAcentral is "snRNA U2". It matches the Rfam family "U2 spliceosomal RNA". From Rfam's summary of the family: U2 is a small nuclear RNA (snRNA) component of the spliceosome (involved in pre-mRNA splicing). Complementary binding between U2 snRNA (in an area lying towards the 5' end but 3' to hairpin I) and the branchpoint sequence (BPS) of the intron results the bulging out of an unpaired adenosine, on the BPS, which initiates a nucleophilic attack at the intronic 5' splice site, thus starting the first of two transesterification reactions that mediate splicing. Lineage: Eukaryota; Viridiplantae; Streptophyta; Magnoliopsida; Poales; Poaceae. The record is from Rfam by way of RNAcentral.
AUACCUUUCUCGGCUUUUUGGCUAAGAUCAAAUGUAAUAUCUGUUAUUAUUAAUUUAAUAUCUGAUAUGUGGACUACAUGUCCACAACGAUACUAAAUUUAUUUUUCAUGGGGAAGGAUCCAUCAUAGUGGCUUGCCACUCGGGUCCUUGCGUGUUCCGGGCGUUGCACUAUAGCCCGGGUGUGGCGCACCCAAC